This 394-nucleotide ribosomal RNA is filed under the name Thaumatomastix sp. RNAcentral describes it as "partial small subunit ribosomal RNA". It matches the Rfam family "Eukaryotic small subunit ribosomal RNA", at positions 587 to 975 of the family's 1831-position model. Lineage: Eukaryota; Cercozoa; Imbricatea; Thaumatomonadida; Thaumatomastigidae. The record is from RNAcentral.
AGCUCCAGUAGCGUAUAUUAAAGUUGUUGCAGUUAAAAAGCUCGUAGUUGGAUUUCUGGUUUGGCGCGUUUGACACGUACCGGCUACGGUCACGUAUGUCUAUGCGCGCCUGCCAUCCUUCCAGAGACCGUUUCUACCCUUCAUUGGGAUCGGAUUCGCAAUCUGGAUCUUUUACUUUGAAAAAAUUAGAGUGUUUAAAGCAGGCUUGUGCUAUGAAUACAUUAGCAUGGAAUAAUAAUUUAGGACUUUCAGUUCUAGGUUGUUGGUUUCUAGAACUGAAGUAAUGAUUGAUAGGGAUAGUUGGGGGUGCUAGUAUUCAGCGGCCAGAGGUGAAAUUCUUGGAUUCGCUGAAGACUAACUUAUGCGAAAGCAUUCACCAAGGAUGUCUUCUUUA